Molecule: ribosomal RNA, 497 nt
Filed under: uncultured bacterium
Lineage: Bacteria
Description: partial 16S ribosomal RNA
Rfam family: Bacterial small subunit ribosomal RNA
Source: RNAcentral
GAUGAACGCUGGCGGCGUGCCUAAUACAUGCAAGUCGAGCGAACGGACGAUAAUCUUUCUUUUCUGAUUUUAGCGGCUGACGGGUGAGUAACACGUGGAUAACCUACCUAUAAUACUUGGAUAACUUCGGGAAACCUGAGCUAAUACCGGAUAAUAUUUUGAACCGCAUUGUUCAAAAGUGAAAGACGGUCUUGCUGUCACUUAUAGAUGUAUCCGCGCUGCAUUAGCUAGUUGGUAAGGUAACGGCUUACCAAGGCAACGAUGCAUAGCCGACGUGAGAGGGUGAUCGGCCACACUGGAAGUGAGACACGGUCCAGAGUACUACGGGAGGCAGCAGUAGGGAAUCUUCCGCAAUGGGCGAAAGCAUGACGGAGCAACGCCGCGUGAGUGAUGAAGGUCUUAGGAUCGUAAAACUCUGUUAUUAGGGAAGAACAUAUGUGUAAGUAACUGUGCACAUAUUGACGGUAACUAAUCAGAAAGCCACGGCUAACUACGUG